Molecule: RNA transcript, 3472 nt
Organism: Panicum virgatum (switchgrass)
Lineage: Eukaryota; Viridiplantae; Streptophyta; Magnoliopsida; Poales; Poaceae
Gene name: stress response protein nst1-like
Exons: 5
Source: RefSeq, a predicted model, not a curated record
GUCUUCGUCGCGUCACCUUCCGUGCGGGGAAAAAAAAGAAAGAAUUCAGCCAGGCAAUCCCAAAGGAAGGGGAAGGGAUUGGAAAGCUAGGGUUUUCGCCAUGGCCGUCGCCCACCUCGAGCUCGAAUCCAUUCUUGCCACGCUCUCCUCCUAGCUUCCGCAUCUGGCAUCCCCACAAAAGGAGCCGCCCGCUUUGAUUCCCCUCCCCCAUUCGAGGGUUUCCCUCCCCUCCCCUUCCCUUCCCCCAAAUCGAAUCGCCGCAUUGCCGGCCGAGCAAGCAACCUACCCACCCGCCCGCCCGCCUUCAAGACAGCGCUGGCGAUCCAGCAGGCGGCGAGGGCGGCGGAGGCGGCCGGAUAAUCAAUGUGUCCGCUGUGCUCCGUGCACCGCUGGUCGCGCCGCGUCGCCACCAUGCUCCCGUGGCUCGUCAUCCCCCUCAUCGCCAUCUGGGCCAUCACCCAGCUGCUGCUCCCGGCCGCCUACCGCUUCGAGGUCACCUCCCCGCGCCUCGCCUGCGUCUCCGUCCUCCUCCUUACCCUCUUCUGGUAUGAGAUCCUCCUCCCGCGCCUCUCCCUCUGGCGCGCCCGCCGCUCCGCGCGCCUCCGCGAGGAGCGCCGCGCCCACGCCCUCGAGCUCCACAAGCUCCGGAAGACCGCCACCCGCCGCUGCCGCAACUGCAGCAACCCCUACAGGGACCAGAACCCCGGUGGUGGCAAGUUCAUGUGCUCCUACUGUGGCCAUGUCUCCAAGCGCCCCGUGCUAGACCUUAAUUCAGCCGGGAAGGUGCCCAUCGGAUGGCCUUGCUCUCAGGAUUGUGGAUGCUGGCUCGACCUGCGCUGCUCCUCCAGCAAUAACAACUCCUUCUUGGCAUUCUCAUGGCGCCUGCUGUCAUCCUUUUCCUCGACAGUAGUGAGCUGGUUCUUGAGGAAGAUAUUCAGAUUUACAUCGUCAGGGGAUGGUGAGGGCUUGGGCCCAGAUGGUAAAAGGUUGGCAAAGAGAGGGGAGAAUGUUGGAAAAGCUGAGGAGAGCAGGGUCGUGAAGGCGAGGAGGAAGGCGGAGGAGAAGAGACUAGCGAGGCUGGAGAGGGAAAUGCUGGAGGAGGAAGAACGGAAGCAGCGUGAGGAGAUGGCAAAGCUAGUAGAGGAACGGAGGAGGCUGAGGGAUGAGAAGGCAGAGGCUGAGGAGCGGUCCAAAAGCGCUACCCCUGUUGGGGAGAAGGAUGCUAGGAGGGAGGCAGAGAGGUGGCGGCAGGAGAGGAGGAAGAAAGAGGACAAGGGGUCCAGCAAGAGCAAUUCAGAUUGUGAGGACAUUGAUAGAAGAUUGGGCCGCGAAGGUGAUAGGAAGCGAGAAUUUGACAGAAAGACUGACUUGGACAAGCGUGAAGGUUAUAAGCCUUAUUACUCGGAACCUAACAGCCAUACUAAUAAGACUGUGGAGAGCAGAACAAAGUACUUUGGUCGUAUGACGGGUGGUUUCUUAUCUUCUUCAAGAGGGUUUGGCAGUGGUUCCUUCUUUGGCAGAAGUGCUCAGGCCCCUGCACCUCAAGUUAACAAGGUUAGUAGACCUGUAGUUCCUGCAACUGACCAGGGUAAUGCACUCAAAAGAGAAACCCAGCAUACAGCCACUCAAGCUACAGCCAAAUCCGCUACAGCUGGAGAAACCAGAAAUUCGUGGGCUAAUUUUAAUCGACCUGUUAGUCCAAAUGUGCAGCCACACCCUACCAGCCUUAAAAAGUCAUGGCAUCAGCUGUUUAGUGGUUCAGCAUCAGUGUCCCCUUGUCCUGAUGUUACAACUUCAGAUCGUGAUAUGAAUCGGAAGCCAGAACCAAAUGGAGCACAGAUAAGCAAUGCUCAUAUAUUUGUGUCUCAGUAUCCUCCUCUGGAAAGCAAGCCAUGUUCAAGCCAGUCCAUGCAAUUUCCAGGUUUCCCACCGCUUAAUGGAGCAUCCCCCAUUAAGCCAUUACCUCAUUUUCCUGCUGGACACAUGCCCUUCUAUGAUGAUGCAGAAUCCACAGUAUUUGAAGAACCAGAACAAUUUGAAGACCCAUGCUAUGAUCCAGAUGCAAUUGCAUUACUUGGGCCAGUUUCAGAGUCUCUAGAUAACUUCCCUUCGGACUUAGAUUGUGGGUUCAUCUCAAGUGAUGUCAGCAAGGAAUCGCAUGGGAGGCCUUCACCCAUCGAGUCUCCUCUCUCAAGAUCUCGAACAGUUGAAGAGAAGCCUAUUAAGCCCCCACACUCAUCAGUCACAAAAGGGCCUGGUGGUUCCAUUUUGCCUGAGGCUAGCAGUGAACAAGGCACUUGGCAAAUGUGGAGCACGCCAUUGGUUCAGGAAACUUUAGGUCUGCAAGGUCCUCAGAGUCAGUGGCUUCGACAACACACAAAUCAAUUUAACCAUAGUGUCAAUCUUUUCAACAGUGGAACAGAAAGCUCCCUGAGUACUGGUUCGAAUGACAAUGAUCCAUGGCUGCAGAAAGCACCCUUUCAGCAACUGCCCCCUGAUACACCAAGCCUGUUUCUUCCACAUGAAGUACAAGGAAAAGCUAUACACAAUGACUUGGUUUUUGGGUCUUCAAACAAAUCAGCCCGUGAACACCCCUUCGGGCCGCCUGGCCAUUCUUGGCCUAAGAAGUAGUUUUGAGGUGGAUAAAUAGAGUGAACACAGGAUUUUACAAUAUCAAGGUCCCUUGUUGCAUAAAAGCUCUGUAAAGGUGCUCUGAUGGAAGAAGAGGCAGUUGAGUCCAAGUAAUAUGGAUGAGUCUAGUUAGGAUACUAUACUUUGUGUCUAGAGACUAUGGAUGAUUCGAGACAAGGCCUGAUGGGGUCUCCAGUAGUAUCCCAUGUCCCCCUGAUCACAUCUGCAGGAGAGACAUCCAUGUAAUCUGCUAGUGGGCUGCUGCCCAUAUCAAAAUGUGGCUCAGGGGAGCAUGGAAAAAAUCUUGUACUCAGUUUUCUUAGCAUGACCGAUUUAUUUUGAGUUAGGUUGGAAUACUCAGGUAGUAUUACUGUGAUUAUCAGAUUCCUAGUUCCUAAAGGCCAGGCUGUGUGCAGGACUGAGGUACUCGACCUUUCAGCAGCCCCUAGCUGAUGGAAACUUAGCAGAAGUGCAGAACUAAAUGAGACAUGUUUGUGUUAUAGAAAGGAGGAACUGGUGCUGAAUGGAGCUCAGGAAGCAACGCGUAUAUCAUCCCCGCCUUGUGCACAUGUUGGUGGUGGAGGCUUAUUUUCCUCAACAAGUCCUGAUGUACAGUCAGUGUGGUCCUUCAAUGAAAAAGAGACAGCAUAGAACGAACUUUGAUUAUAUAGAGGGAACGCAAUGUCGAGCCAAGACUUCCUUGCCUCCUCCUUGCAGUGAUGUAGGGGUUAGUGAGGAGAUAAGCUGGUGGAUUGUGUUCCUUGAUGCAAAAGUAUGAUGAUUUUGUUAAGUAGCACUCACCUCACCAAUUAACAUGCGCUCAUGCAUUGCAUUAGGCCUC